AUGAUGGAUAAAUUAGUAAAAAACACGCCAACAGAGAUUGUAACACGUGGUACCUACAAUACUCAUGCGAGCACUGUAUUACAUCACCGUGUCGAUAAUAUCAAAAAUGAGACAAAAAAUGACAUCCUAAUUUUAACUUACAAUAAAGAACUAGCUGUGCAAAUAUACGAAAUAUAUAAAGACAUUAUUAACUCUUUUUAUAAGUCUUAUAAUUCAUCUUUUUUCUCAAACAACGGUACAAUUUUGUUUAAUAAUACACACAUGACACUUCAAGAAGAAUAUAAAAAAAUUAUUGAACAAAUAAAUAUGAAUGAGAAAAAAAAGAAAAUUAAUAUGAAUGCUUACUUAUUAAUAGGUAAUAAUAAUAUCGUAUACCAACUAAAAAGUUUAAAAAAAAAAAAAAUGAACAUCGCUUUUGAACGUGUACAGGUUAAAAACGAUACUGUUGAAAGUAAAAGUAGUAUAACUACUAUAAACGAUAAAAAAAACGACUUAACAGAUGAAAAAAAAACAAUUGAAAAUAAUGUUACAAAUAUAAAUAUUUAUAUCGGCACACCAGGAAGAAUAAGUACAUUAAUAAAUGAAAAAAAAAUAAUACAAUUAAAAAAUAUAUCUACUAUAAUUUUAGACGAGUACGAUUUUUUUUUCAAUUCAUUUAAACAAAAUGCUAAACAAAAUAUGAAUAAGGUAGAGCUAGAAAAUAAAUUUGUUUCCAAUUUGUUAAAAAGUAUAUACACACACAAAAAAAUGAAUAGCAUCAAAAAUAUAAAUAAAAAAAAUAAUAAUAUUAAUUAUGUCAAUCAAGUAACAUCUACUAAUGUUAUAUGUUGUAGUGCCACUCCCGCGGUGUAUUCUUUUCUCCUAUAUACGAAACAUAUUAUUACUACAAACCUUUUGCAAGAUUUGCACGGUCAGGAUGUCCAAAAUGGGACUAGUCAGUGUUCUAGUAGUGGUGGAAGUAGUAGCCAUAGUGGUAGUAGUACCCAUAGUGGUAAUAGUAGCCAUAGUAGUAGUAGUAGUAGUAGUAGUAGCCAUAGUAGUAGUAGUAGUAGUAGUAGUAGUAGCCAUAGUGAUAGUAGUAGCAACAGUAACGGAACCAGUUGCAAAAUAUCCACAACCGAUUCAACAGUUACCAACGCUUUCAUAAAAAAUAGUAUACCAUUUAUUAAUUACGAACAAGAGAAAAAAAUGUUAUAUAAUUUAUUGCAUUUAGAGAAGGAUAUAAAAGUACCAAAUAAUUUAGUUCAUUUAAAUUACUACUAUAAUACAAAUAGGAAAAAUAAUAAUAGUUCUAUAUUUAAUCUUUUAAGAAUUUUAUUUUCAAAUCCUUUGAAUAAAAAUGUUCUAAUUUUUUGUAACACUAAGGUAUUUUUUUUUUUUUUAUUUAAAAUGAAUGCCUACACAAGUUUUAUUUUUUUUUAUUUUUGA
This 1428-nucleotide long non-coding RNA is filed under the name Piliocolobus tephrosceles (Ugandan red Colobus). RNAcentral's name for it is "lncRNA (ENSPTEG00000038553.1)". The record is from RNAcentral. Lineage: Eukaryota; Metazoa; Chordata; Mammalia; Primates; Cercopithecidae.